AGAGUUUGAUCAUGGCUCAGGAUGAACGCUGGCGGCGUGCUUAACACAUGCAAGUCGAACGGUAAGGUCCCCUUCGGGGGAUACACGAGUGGCGAACGGGUGAGUAACACGUGGGCAACCUGCCCCUCACAUCGGGAUAACCAUUGGAAACGAUGGCUAAUACCGGAUACUCCGCGAGGAUCACAUGGUCCUUUCGGGAAAGCUCCGGCGGUGAGGGAUGGGCCCGCGCCCCAUUAGCUUGUUGGUGAGGUAACGGCUCACCAAGGCGACGAUGGGUAGCCGAGCUGAGAGGCUGACCGGCCACACUGGGACUGAGACACGGCCCAGACUCCUACGGGAGGCAGCAGUGGGGAAUUUUGCACAAUGGGCGAAAGCCCGAUGCAGCAACGCCGCGUGCGGGAUGAAGGCUCUCGGGUUGUAAACCGCUUUCAGCAGGGACGAACGUGACGGUACCUGCAGAAGAAGCCCCGGCUAAAUACGUGCCAGCAGCCGCGGUAAUACGUAUGGGGCAAGCGUUAUCCGGAUUCAUUGGGCGUAAAGCGCGUGUAGGCGGCUUGUUAAGUCAGAUGUGAAAACCGGGGGCUUAACCCGCGGCCUGCAUCUGAAACUGACAGGCUUGAGUCUGGUAGAGGAAAGUGGAAUUCCUAGUGUAGCGGUGAAAUGCGCAGAUAUUAGGAGGAACACCAGUGGCGAAGGCGGCUUUCUGGGCCACGGCUGACGCUGAGACGCGAAAGCUAGGGGAGCAAACAGGAUUAGAUACCCUGGUAGUCCUAGCCGUAAACGAUGGGCACUAGGUGUGGGAGGUCAUCGACUCCUUCCGUGCCGUAGCUAACGCAUUAAGUGCCCCGCCUGGGGAGUACGGCCGCAAGGCUAAAACUCAAAGGAAUUGACGGGGGCCCGCACAAGCAGCGGAGCAUGUGGCUUAAUUCGACGCAACGCGAAGAACCUUACCAGGUCUUGACAUGUAGAGAAAAGCGGCGGAAACGUCGUGUCCGCAAGGGCUCUACACAGGUGGUGCAUGGCUGUCGUC
This 1030-nucleotide ribosomal RNA is filed under the name uncultured bacterium. RNAcentral describes it as "bacterial SSU rRNA". It matches the Rfam family "Bacterial small subunit ribosomal RNA", at positions 8 to 1056 of the family's 1533-position model. The record is from RNAcentral.